Molecule: transfer RNA, 65 nt
Filed under: Athyma sinope
Lineage: Eukaryota; Metazoa; Arthropoda; Insecta; Lepidoptera; Nymphalidae
Description: Pandita sinope tRNA-Cys
Source: RNAcentral
AAGCUUUAUAUUCAAAUAAAUGAUAUAAAAUUGCAAAUUUUAUGGUGUAUUAUAUACUAAGGCUU